RNAcentral lists this unclassified non-coding RNA (404 nucleotides) under Hevea brasiliensis (rubber tree). The record is from RNAcentral. Lineage: Eukaryota; Viridiplantae; Streptophyta; Magnoliopsida; Malpighiales; Euphorbiaceae.
CCAGUUCUGUUAUCAGUUCUUUGGAAUCCCCAGGAAGAUGAUGCCGGUUUUGUGAAUAGCCUAGUGGUAUAUGGAAUUGGGCUCUUAUUUGGAAUAAUAUGUGGGGUUAUUGCAUAUGCUAGAACUGAGAAUUCAAGCCCUCCAAAGAAGUGCCUAUUUCCUUGGCUUGCAGGAGGGUUCUUAAUGAGUGUGAUCUGGAGUUAUAUCAUAGCUCAGGAAUUGGUAGCCCUAUUAGUUUCCCUUGGAUAUAUAUUUGAAGUAAGUCCUUCAAUUCUUGGGCUAACAGUUCUUGCCUGGGGCAAUUCAGUAGGGGAUCUGAUAGCCAAUUUGACCAUGGCCUUGAAUGGCAGUCCUGAAGGUGCACAAGUAGCUAUAUCAGGGUGUUAUGCAGGUCCCAUUUUCAA